Molecule: ribosomal RNA, 301 nt
Filed under: uncultured bacterium
Lineage: Bacteria
Description: partial 16S ribosomal RNA
Rfam family: Bacterial small subunit ribosomal RNA
Source: RNAcentral
CAGUCGCCACGGUAAUACGUAGGUCCCGAGCGUUGUCCGGAUUUAUUGGGCGUAAAGCGAGCGCAGGCGGUUAGAUAAGUCUGAAGUUAAAGGCUGUGGCUUAACCAUAGUACGCUCUGGAAACUGUUUAACUUGAGUGCAAGAGGGGAGAGUGGAAUUCCAUGAGUAGCGGUGAAAUGCGUAGAUAUAUGGAGGAACACCGGUGGCGAAAGCGGCUCUCUGGCUUGUAACUGACGCUGAGGCUCGAAAGCGUGGGGCGCAAACAGGAUUAGAUACCCCAGUAGUCCCUGUCUCUUAUACC